CCCUUAGAUGUUCUGGGCCGCACGCGUGCUACACUGACCGGUGCAACAAGUUUCUUUCCUUGGCUCGAUAGGCCUGGGUAAUCUUUGAACACCGGUCGUGAUGGGGAUAGAUCCUUGCAAUUUUUGAUCUUCAACGAGGAAUUCCUAGUAAAUGCGAGUCAUCAUCUCGCGUUGAUUACGUCCCUGCCCUUUGUACACACCGCCCGUCGCACCUACCGAUUGAAUGGUCCGGUGAGAAUUUUGGAUUGAUGUUUAGUCGGAUUAACGUCAGACUUUACGUUGAGAAGUUAUUCAAACCUUACCAUUUAGAGGAAGGUGAAGUCGUAACA
Molecule: ribosomal RNA, 329 nt
Filed under: uncultured eukaryote
Lineage: Eukaryota
Description: partial 18S ribosomal RNA
Rfam family: Eukaryotic small subunit ribosomal RNA
Source: RNAcentral